This is a long non-coding RNA of Choloepus didactylus (southern two-toed sloth), 722 nucleotides long. RefSeq lists it as uncharacterized. The transcript is spliced from 3 exons. The record is from RefSeq and is a predicted model, not a curated record. NCBI's taxonomy places the organism in Eukaryota, Metazoa, Chordata, Mammalia, Pilosa, Megalonychidae.
UCAACAGAACCCAGAAGAGAAAGGUGAAGACAGUGCCAUGUGCACUGCCAUGUGAUGAAAAAGCCAAGGAACCGCAAGCAAGCCUUCUAGCCUCUGAACAUGUGAGCCAAGACACUCCCGUUAAUUAAGCCAAUCCAUGGUAUAGUAUUUGUUUUAGCAGCCAGGAAACCAAUACAGGCAGAAUAAGGAAAAUCAACUGAGCACAGAUCACUCAAUGCAGAGAGAUUGACGUGAGCAAUAGCACGCCCCACACAGUCAUACAAUUCUUGGGUAAUAAUUACCAUGAGACAUUUUGCAGCUGUAGUUGAGGGAAAGAAUCCUCCUUAGUACAACCACAAAGACUCAGUCUUUUCUGCAAAUAUAUGUAAGCUACAGAAUAUAAGGAGUCAGCUUUCUAGGGAAGACCUACCUGGGAAAGCACAAAGAAGAGCAGCAACACAAGAAGAAGAAAAGAGACUAUAGCAACUACUCAGUGUGGAGAAAUAACUACCUGUUGAAAUAUGGGAAAAGGAAAAGAGAAGAUUCAGAGAGACCAAAAUAACAUGAAUGCCUUGGAAAGUCUUAAAGGGGUAGAAGUGGAACUCUUCUCAGCACCUGGCUGGUCUGGCUCCAAAUCCUAAGAGGAGAAAACAGUUCUACAUCACUGCUGGAGAAUGAGGAGGUGAGUAAGUAUAGAAUAGAAAGAAUUUUCUCUUUUUUUAAAUCUCAACCAGUGGUAGCUG